RNAcentral lists this ribosomal RNA (570 nucleotides) under uncultured bacterium. RNAcentral's name for it is "bacterial SSU rRNA". It matches the Rfam family "Bacterial small subunit ribosomal RNA", at positions 272 to 842 of the family's 1533-position model. The record is from RNAcentral.
GACAACGAUGGAUAGGGGUUCUGAGAGGAAGGUCCCCCACACUGGAACUGAGACACGGUCCAAACUCCUACGGGAGGCAGCAGUGAGGAAUAUUGGUCAAUGGACGAGAGUCUGAACCAGCCAAGUAGCGUGAAGGAUGACUGCCCUAUGGGUUGUAAACUUCUUUUAUAUGGGAAUAAAAUGUUCCACGUGUGGGAUUUUGUAUGUACCAUAUGAAUAAGGAUCGGCUAACUCCGUGCCAGCAGCCGCGGUAAUACGGAGGAUCCGAGCGUUAUCCGGAUUUAUUGGGUUUAAAGGGAGCGUAGGUGGAUUGUUAAGUCAGUUGUGAAAGUUUGCGGCUCAACCGUAAAAUUGCAGUUGAAACUGGCAGUCUUGAGUACAGUAGAGGUGGGCGGAAUUCGUGGUGUAGCGGUGAAAUGCUUAGAUAUCACGAAGAACUCCGAUUGCGAAGGCAGCUCACUGGACUGCAACUGACACUGAGGCUCGAAAGUGUGGGUAUCAAACAGGAUUAGAUACCCUGGUAGUCCACACAGUAAACGAUGAAUACUCGCUGUUUGCGAUAUACAGUAA